RNAcentral lists this ribosomal RNA (937 nucleotides) under Pseudomonas aeruginosa. RNAcentral's name for it is "bacterial SSU rRNA". The record is from RNAcentral. Lineage: Bacteria; Pseudomonadati; Pseudomonadota; Gammaproteobacteria; Pseudomonadales; Pseudomonadaceae.
UGCAGUCGAGCGGAUGAGGGAGCUUGCUCCUGGAUUCAGCGGCGGACGGGUGAGUAAUGCCUAGGAAUCUGCCUGGUAGUGGGGGAUAACGUCCGGAAACGGGCGCUAAUACCGCAUACGUCCUGAGGGAGAAAGUGGGGGAUCUUCGGACCUCACGCUAUCAGAUGAGCCUAGGUCGGAUUAGCUAGUUGGUGGGGUAAAGGSCUACCAAGGCGACGAUCCGUAACUGGUCUGAGAGGAUGAUCAGUCACACUGGAACUGAGACACGGUCCAGACUCCUACGGGAGGCAGCAGUGGGGAAUAUUGGACAAUGGGCGAAAGCCUGAUCCAGCCAUGCCGCGUGUGUGAAGAAGGUCUUCGGAUUGUAAAGCACUUUAAGUUGGGAGGAAGGGCAGUAAGUUAAUACCUUGCUGUUUUGACGUUACCAACAGAAUAAGCACCGGCUAACUUCGUGCCAGCAGCCGCGGUAAUACGAAGGGUGCAAGCGUUAAUCGGAAUUACUGGGCGUAAAGCGCGCGUAGGUGGUUCAGCAAGUUGGAUGUGAAAUCCCCGGGCUCAACCUGGGAACUGCAUCCAAAACUACUGAGCUAGAGUACGGUAGAGGGUGGUGGAAUUUCCUGUGUAGCGGUGAAAUGCGUAGAUAUAGGAAGGAACACCAGUGGCGAAGGCGACCACCUGGACUGAUACUGACACUGAGGUGCGAAAGCGUGGGGAGCAAACAGGAUUAGAUACCCUGGUAGUCCACGCCGUAAACGAUGUCGACUAGCCGUUGGGAUCCUUGAGAUCUUASUGGCGCAGCUAACGCGAUAAGUCGACGCUGGGGAGUACGGCCGCAGGUUAAACUCAAUGAUUGACUGGGGCCGCACAGCGUGAGCAUGUGUUAUCGAGCAACGCUAGACUACUGCUGACAUGCUGAGACUUCAGGUGAUUGUGCCUC